RNAcentral lists this long non-coding RNA (1004 nucleotides) under Capsicum annuum. RNAcentral's name for it is "long non-coding RNA (CANN_LNC011550)". Lineage: Eukaryota; Viridiplantae; Streptophyta; Magnoliopsida; Solanales; Solanaceae. The record is from RNAcentral.
CAGAUACUAUAUACUAAAAAUAUGGAACAUUACAUUUAAAAGUUAUGUAUUAAAUAUUUGUCACAAGUUCGACAUAGAGUUUCACAUUUACUUUUCAAAAGGAUACAUCCAUCGAUACUGCACAGGUCUAGAUAUCCUUAUUUCAUAUGGAAGGGGAACAGGUAGAUAUUCCAUUGAGUCCAAGAUCCCAGGAGAAAAUAUACAUUCUAACUUGCACAAAAUUUGUAAAAUAUCUCCCUCUAAUUGCACCAUAUCAUCCACUCGUAGAGUGGUCAAAGUAAGAUCCUUAAAAAAUAGCUCAAUUCUGUAAGUGUCGGCUACACAUUACUAGGAAGUAGUUCAUGAAAAGCAAUAGACAUUAGUCAUUUCAUGAACACAUGAAAAUUGUGAAUUUUCAUACCAAAUAACCUUUUCACAUUUGUGUCUGGCAAUCUACCCAAAUUUGAAACAUACCCAUCUGGAAACUUUAAGCCUAUCACUCAAUUAAACAAGAUAGAUCUUGAUUCCUUGUCUGUUGUAUAGACUGCUUUUGGAUAUUGUCCAGUACUAUGUUUUACCAACUGAGGUCGAUCAUAAUACUUUGUUGUAUCUAGACGUGACUAUAGAUUGUAUUUGGUUUUGUCAUCAAAAUUUAAAAAGUAUUAUAUACAUUAUCAAAGAAAUUUUUCUCAAUAAGCAUGACAUCAAGAUUAUGUCAGAUCAUGUUAGAACUCCAGUAUGGCAAAUCCCAAAAGAUGUUUUGCUUUUUCCAACCACAUGUCUUACAUAUUCUUUGAUUAACUUCUUCUGCAGCUACUCUGUUAUAUUUCUUAUCCCCAAAUUACAAAUUUGGUUCAAAAUUUCAUUCCCUAUUCUAUAUGAUGGUGGGGGUCUUUUGAUAGUCUGGCCUUUAAGAAAGUGCUUUCGAUCUCUCCUAAAUAGGUGAUGUUGUUUAAGGAACAUUCUAUGGCAAUCAAACCAAGAUUGUUUUCUUCCAUGGUGUAAUCUAAAGGAUUGUGUUUCCU